AGCAGGAUAUAAACCAAGGGUUUGGGACACCUACCCCAUAGGGGAGGUAGGAGGGAUGGGGAGGGAGUAGAAGAGGGAGCUGGGUGGCAGCUGUUGGGGCUCAGUGUUUAUGAGGGGAGUACUGUACAGACACUGUGAGAGAAGAGGCCUAGAAGUGUUUGGCGGAAGUGGGAUAUAAGGGUUUGGGUUACAAAGGAUGAUGCUUUGGGGGAGAGGAGGAGGAAGAAGGAGGCUUUUGCCGGGGAGUUGAAAGCAGUAAUGGUUUGUUCACAAGGGUUACAAAUGCCCUUCUUAGUGGAAGCAGAACGGAUUAUUGAAUGACUGGUGGUAACAGCAGCAAUAUCUAUGAAAGGAGUACGGAUGUUUGUGCCUCUGGAAGAGGGCGGAGAGAGGGGUGAAGGUUUUGCAUUUAAGAAGGGAGGCUAGAUACAUUUCCUUGUGGGAGGAGGAAAAAUGUAGGGCGGAAAUAAUAAUAGUGUAGGUAUAGCUGGUGAUCUCAGGGAGAGAAGUGAUUAAUCAAUUCCUGGAGCAACAAAGAGAAGAGAGCAGCUAUUUAAGCAGCUUGGGUUUAUGUGAAUCGUCAGAGAGCAGGUUAAGAUUCCAGUUGCAUCUGAGCUGAAGUCUCUACAGAGUCUGCUAUUUUUGGUAGCAAUGUGGAGCAGCAACAAAAGAGGAAGCCUGGUGGGAGAAGUCGGCAGCCAAAGUUGUGGGGAGUCUGGACUCAGCUCAGCUUCCAUCUUUCAUAAGAAGAUAAGAAUGGCCAUACUGGGUCAGACUAAAGGUCCAUCCAGCCCCAUAUCCUGUCUGCUGACAGUGGCCAAUGCCAGGUGCCCCAGAGGGAGUGAACCUAACAGGUCAGCGAGGAAUCAGGACAGGGAAAAUACAUCUCCCAAAGCCCUACUUGAACUAAGCAUCUAGAUUACAAAAAUUCUCUCUGGUUAAGCUAGGCUAAGUGCAGAAAGGCUAGGAUGACAGAAAGUGACAUCCAGAAAAAACUGGAAUUAACCAGAUUUAAAGCUGAGGAAAGACAGAAGGAACAUGAAAGACAGCUGGAACUGAGACAGAUGAAGAUUGAUGCACAAGCGGCCAGAGAAAAAGCUGCUAAGGAGGCAGAAACGGCCAGGGAUGAGGCUGCCCAUGAGAGAGCUAUGGAGGCCCAGCGGGAGGCCCAGAAGCAUGCUCAGGAGGAGAGGGAAAGUGAGAGGAAGCAUGACCUGGCUGUUACGGAGUUGAAGAGACAAAAUCCUUCAGCUGCUGGCUCCACUUCCCCAAAAAACCACAAAUGGGAGGGACUAUGUCUGCAGUAUGAUGAAUCCAGUGAUAUUGUUGAAUAUUUCAUCACCUUUGAGAGACUGUGCACCCUUCAUAAAAUUCCUGAUGAUCACAAGAUGACCACACUGGUAGCAAAAUUGACUGGCAGAGCUCUGGACAUAUUCAAUAAGAUGCCUAUUGAGGAUGCUUCUGAUGAUGGUAAAUUUAAGGAUGUGGUUUUAAAACAAUUUCAAAUUACAUGUGAAACUUGCAGAGUAAAAUUUAGAGCCCCUAAAAGAGGGGCUGGACUAAGUGAUGUGGCUUAUGUAAACCAGAUGAAGGAUCUGUUAGAUAAAUGGGUCAAAGGAAGGUGUGUAACUAGCUUUGAAGGAGUGUGUGAUUUGUUUGUAAGGAGCAGUUCCUGGCUAUGACCAAUGAUGAAGUAAAACAGUGGUUGUGGGAUAAGAAAAUGGACUCAGCAGAAAGUCUUGCUUCUUAUGCUGAUCAAUGCGAGCAGUCCCAGACCGCCAGAGAGGUGGGGAAAGUUGGAACAAAAUGGGUGGAGGUAGCAGAGAGGAACAACUCCGGUCUCAGUUGGAGCGGAUACCAGAAGGGACGCCCCGAGACCACACCCUACCACCGAGGGUAGCCCAAGGCCCCAACUACACUCCAAGGAAAACCCCAGACACCUUAUCAUCCCACCACACCAUUCUCCAGCAACCCACGCCGCCCCAGUGACCAGUCAGCUGGGCAAUGUUUUAAAUGUAACAGGCUGGGGCGUGUAAAGGCCAACCUCCCCAAAAACCCCAAUAGAUGACAGUUCAUUGCACCAGGGUUACACCAAAGGUCCUCAGGCCCAGAUGCCUCCCAGAUACCCUCAGAGCGAAGGGAAACUGUGAGUGUCGGUGGGAAGAAGGUUAUCGCGUGGAGGGACACUGGAGC
Chelonia mydas (Green sea turtle) is the source of this 2193-nucleotide long non-coding RNA. RefSeq lists it as uncharacterized. NCBI's taxonomy places the organism in Eukaryota, Metazoa, Chordata, Testudines, Cheloniidae. The transcript has 4 exons. The record is from RefSeq and is a predicted model, not a curated record.